This 447-nucleotide ribosomal RNA is filed under the name uncultured bacterium. RNAcentral's name for it is "bacterial SSU rRNA". It matches the Rfam family "Bacterial small subunit ribosomal RNA", at positions 355 to 825 of the family's 1533-position model. The record is from RNAcentral.
UCGGGAAUUUUGGGCAAUGGGCGAAAGCCUGACCCAGCAACGCCGCGUGAAGGAUGAAGUAUUUCGGUAUGUAAACUUCGAAAGAAUAGGAAGAAUAAAUGACGGUACUAUUUAUAAGGUCCGGCUAACUACGUGCCAGCAGCCGCGGUAAUACGUAGGGACCAAGCGUUGUUCGGAUUUACUGGGCGUAAAGGGCGCGUAGGCGGCAAUUCAAGUCAUCUGUGAAAUCUCCGGGCUUAACUCGGAACGGUCAGAUGAUACUGCUUUGCUAGAGUGCAGAAGGGGCAAUCGGAAUUCUUGGUGUAGCGGUGAAAUGCGUAGAUAUCAAGAGGAACACCUGAGGUGAAGACGGGUUGCUGGGCUGACACUGACGCUGAGGCGCGAAAGCCAGGGGAGCAAACGGGAUUAGAUACCCACGUAGUCCCUGAGCGGGCUGGCAAGGCGCAU